RNAcentral lists this ribosomal RNA (514 nucleotides) under uncultured Prevotella sp. Its description in RNAcentral is "bacterial SSU rRNA". It matches the Rfam family "Bacterial small subunit ribosomal RNA", at positions 8 to 507 of the family's 1533-position model. The record is from RNAcentral. Lineage: Bacteria; Pseudomonadati; Bacteroidota; Bacteroidia; Bacteroidales; Prevotellaceae.
AGAGUUUGAUCCUGGCUCAGGAUGAACGCUGGCUACAGGCUUAACACAUGCAAGUCGAGGGGAAACGGCGUUGAGUGCUCGCACUCUUCGGACGUCGACCGGCGCACGGGUGAGUAACGCGUAUCCAACCUUCCCGUCACUGCGGGAUAACCUGCCGAAAGGCAGACUAAUACCGCAUGGCCUUCACUGACGGCAUCCGAGGUGAAGUAAAGCUUUUUAGCGGUGACGGACGGGGAUGCGUCUGAUUAGCUGGUUGGCGGGGCGACGGCCCACCAAGGCGACGAUCAGUAGGGGUUCUGAGAGGAAGGUCCCCCACAUUGGAACUGAGACACGGUCCAAACUCCUACGGGAGGCAGCAGUGAGGAAUAUUGGUCAAUGGGCGGAAGCCUGAACCAGCCAAGUAGCGUGCAGGAGGACGGCCCUACGGGUUGUAAACUGCUUUUAUGCGGGGAUAAAGUGAGGGACGCGUCCCUUUUUGCAGGUACCGCAUGAAUAAGGACCGGCUAAUUCCGUG